GCGAGGGCAGGGGGUACCGGAAGGAGGUGCCACCGGAGGAGAGGCAAGAGGACAGGAAGGGGUGGGGGAAGGGCGGAAGAGGCUGUGCUGCCGCCAUGUUGGGCGAGGGCAGGGGGUACCGGAAGGAGGUGCCACCGGAGGAGAGGCAAGAGGACAGGAAGGGGAGGGAAAUGGGCGGAAGAGGCUGUGCUGCCGCCAUGUUGGGCGAGGGCAGGGGGUACCGGAAGGAGGUGCCACCGGAGGAGAGGCGAGAGGACAGGAAGGGGUGGGGGAAGGGCGGAAGAGGCUGUGCUGCCGCCAUGUUGGGCAAGAGCAGGGGGUACCCGGAAGGAGGUGCCACCGGAGGAGAGGCAAGAGGACAGGAAGGGUAGGGGAGGGAAAUGGGCGGUAGAGGCUGUGCUGCCGCCAUGUUGCGCGAGG
Molecule: non-coding RNA, 420 nt
Organism: Podarcis lilfordi (Lilford's wall lizard)
Lineage: Eukaryota; Metazoa; Chordata; Lepidosauria; Squamata; Lacertidae
Source: the annotation of a GenBank genome assembly